UACGUAGGUGGCAAGCGUUGUCCGGAUUUACUGGGCGUAAAGGGCGUGCAGGCGGUCUGUUAAGUCUAGGGUGAAAGCUCCCGGCUCAACUGGGAGAGGUCCUUGGAUACUGGCGGACUUGAGGGAUGCAGAGGAAAGUGGAAUUCCCGGUGUAGUGGUGAUAUGCGUAGAUAUCGGGAGGAACACCAGUGGCGAAGGCGGCUUUCUGGGCAUUUCCUGACGCUGAGGCGCGAAAGCGUGGGGAGCAAACAGG
This 253-nucleotide ribosomal RNA is filed under the name uncultured bacterium. RNAcentral's name for it is "partial 16S ribosomal RNA". It matches the Rfam family "Bacterial small subunit ribosomal RNA", at positions 524 to 776 of the family's 1533-position model. The record is from RNAcentral.